Molecule: ribosomal RNA, 253 nt
Filed under: uncultured bacterium
Lineage: Bacteria
Description: partial 16S ribosomal RNA
Rfam family: Bacterial small subunit ribosomal RNA
Source: RNAcentral
UACGGGGGGGGCGAGCGUUAUUCGGAAUUAUUGGGCGUAAAGGGCGCGUAGGCGGCUGUACAAGUCAAAGGUGAAAUCCCUCGGCUCAACUGAGGAACUGCCUUUGAAACUGUACGGCUUGAGGCCGGGAGGGGGUAGCGGAAUUCCCAGUGUAGCGGUGAAAUGCGUAGAUAUUGGGAGGAACACCAGUGGCGAAGGCGGCUACCUGGACCGGUUCUGACGCUGAUGCGCGAAAGCGUGGGUAGCAAACAGG